This 655-nucleotide ribosomal RNA is filed under the name uncultured archaeon. Its description in RNAcentral is "partial 16S ribosomal RNA". It matches the Rfam family "Archaeal small subunit ribosomal RNA", at positions 6 to 640 of the family's 1478-position model. The record is from RNAcentral.
GGUUGAUCCUGCCGGACCCGACCGCUAUCGGGGUGGGGCUAAGCCAUGGGAGUCGUACGCCCCGCCGCUGCGGGGCGUGGCGGACGGCUGAGUAACACGUGGCUAACCUACCCUCGGGAGGGGGAUAACACCGGGAAACUGGUGCUAAUCCCCCAUAGGGGAGGAGGCCUGGAAGGGUUCCUCCCCGAAAGGGUACGGCGGGGGUUAUCGCCGCCGUGCCACCCGAGGAUGGGGUUGCGGCCCAUCAGGUAGUUGGCGGGGUAACGGCCCGCCAAGCCGAUAACGGGUAGGGGCCGUGAGAGCGGGAGCCCCCAGAUGGGCACUGAGACAAGGGCCCAGGCCCUACGGGGCGCACCAGGCGCGAAACCUCCGCAAUGCGGGCAACCGUGACGGGGUCACCCCGAGUGCCCCCUAUAAGGGGGCUUUUCCCCGCUGUAGGAAGGCGGGGGAAUAAGCGGGGGGCAAGUCUGGUGUCGGCCGCCGCGGUAAUACCAGCCCCGCGAGUGGUCGGGACGGUUAUUGGGCCUAAAGCGCCCGUAGCCGGCCUGGUAAGUCCCCCUCUAAAUCCCCGGGCUCAACCCGGGGGUUGGGGGGGAUACUGCCAGGCUAGGGGGCGGGAGAGGCCGAGGGUACUCCCGGGGUAGGGGCGAAAUCC